GGCGGAGGGUAAGAGGGGGCGCGAGACCCAGUCCUCGCUGGGGGCGCGCGCACGGGGCGGCUGGGGCGGGGCCAGCGAGGGGCGUAGCCAAGCCGGGGGCGCGCGGCCCCUGCAAUGUCUGCAAGGGUCGGGAGAAGCCGGCGGCCCGCAGGCCCGGAGGGGACCGAAGGGGCUGGGGGGGUCCGGGGCUGAGCCAGCAGGGUCCGCUCCCUCACAGGGAAGGCUGAGUGCCCGCCUUGGAGAGGAAGGCCGCCCUUUGCCAGGUGGGCCGCCUCCGCAAAGACUUGGUCGUCGUCAUCUGGGGCACUCGGCCAAGGAAGGACUUCCUCUGAGCUGUAAUGAUCAACCCGCGGCGGGAAAAUAGAUACUCUGCUUCUACAUCACAGAGGAGCCCUUCCUGCGCCGCCUCCCCGCUGGGCAAUGUGGUUCAGUUCAGUUCAGUUCAGUCAUUCAGUCGUGUCCGACUCUUUGCGACCCCAUGAAUCGCAGCAAGCCAGGCCUCCCUGUCCUUCACCAUCUCCUGGAGUUCACUCAAACUCACAUCCAUCAAGUCGGUGACGCCAUCCAGCCAUCUCAUCCUCUGUCAUCCCCUUCUCCUCCUGCCCCCA
This 608-nucleotide long non-coding RNA is filed under the name Bos mutus (wild yak). RNAcentral describes it as "lncRNA (ENSBMUG00000011910.1)". Lineage: Eukaryota; Metazoa; Chordata; Mammalia; Artiodactyla; Bovidae. The record is from RNAcentral.